UUCGGCGGUCAUAGCGGAGGGGCAACACCUGAUCCCGUCUCGAUCUCAGUAGUUAAGCCCUCCAGCGUUUCGGGUGCGUACUAUAACCUUGGUUAUGGGAAGCCCGAAUCGCUGCCGGCC
This 120-nucleotide ribosomal RNA is filed under the name Methanobacteriaceae archaeon. The record is from RNAcentral. Lineage: Archaea; Methanobacteriati; Methanobacteriota; Methanobacteria; Methanobacteriales; Methanobacteriaceae.